This 305-nucleotide ribosomal RNA is filed under the name uncultured bacterium. Its description in RNAcentral is "bacterial SSU rRNA". It matches the Rfam family "Bacterial small subunit ribosomal RNA", at positions 335 to 656 of the family's 1533-position model. The record is from RNAcentral.
GUUCCUACGGGGGGCAGCAGUGGGGAAUAUUGGGCAAUGGGGGAAACCCUGACCCAGCAACGCCGCGUGAGGGAAGAAGGUUUUCGGAUCGUAAACCUCUGUCCUUGGUGAAGAGAAGAAGACGGUAGCCAAGGAGGAAGCCCCGGCUAACUACGUGCCAGCAGCCGCGGUAAUACGUAGGGGGCAAGCGUUGUCCGGAAUUACUGGGUGUAAAGGGAGCGUAGGCGGGCGAGAAAGUUGAAUGUUAAAUCUACCGGCUUAACUGGUAGCUGCGUUCAAAACUUCUUGCCUUGAGUGAAGUAGAG